Molecule: long non-coding RNA, 525 nt
Filed under: Homo sapiens (human)
Lineage: Eukaryota; Metazoa; Chordata; Mammalia; Primates; Hominidae
Description: novel transcript
Source: RNAcentral
CGGAAACUUCAGAGCUGUCAGACACUGCUGCGCCUCCUCCUGCUGCUGCCUGGCUGCUGAGAUUGGUGCAUCUGGAUGAAUCUGAUGUGUAUGUUUUCAUUCCUUUCCUUCCAGAACCCUUGGUAAAGAAAGUACACAGAGGGAUUCAUGAGUGCUUGGCCAACUCCAAGGUCCUGGGAGGACAUGAACCAGUGACUUUGAAUGUGAUGCUGAGCCCAGCAGGGAGCCAGUAUGACUCUCCCCAAAUCACAAGUGAGACUCAGAGGCCCCACUGGGCUCCCACAUGGACUCAGGCCACCGUCUUUGCUUAGAGGACGCAGCAGAAAGACUUGGCUCAUUUUCCAGGGGCAGACUUGGAGAGUUCUGGCAGGUCCAUACAUUUCAACUCCCUCCUCCCACCACAGCAGGCCUGCUCUUUUAUGUAUCCAAUGGGAAUAUUUUUCAUUAUCUUCCCUCUCAAUUUAAUUAAUCCACAUUCCGUAAUGAACCUUGAAAUUUCAUUAAACACAUCAUUACUAAUCAGCA